UAGGGAAUCUUCGGCAAUGGGGGCAACCCUGACCGAGCAACGCCGCGUGAGUGAAGAAGGUUUUCGGAUCGUAAAGCUCUGUUGUAAGAGAAGAACGUGUGUGAGAGUGGAAAGUUCACACAGUGACGGUAACUUACCAGAAAGGGACGGCUAACUACGUGCCAGCAGCCGCGGUAAUACGUAGGUCCCGAGCGUUGUCCGGAUUUAUUGGGCGUAAAGCGAGCGCAGGCGGUUUAAUAAGUCUGAAGUUAAAGGCAGUGGCUUAACCAUUGUUCGCUUUGGAAACUGUUAAACUUGAGUGCAGAAGGGGAGAGUGGAAUUCCAUGUGUAGCGGUGAAAUGCGUAGAUAUAUGGAGGAACACCGGUGGCGAAAGCGGCUCUCUGUCUGUAACUGACGCUGAGGCUCGAAAGCGUGGGGAGCAAACAGG
Molecule: ribosomal RNA, 428 nt
Filed under: bacterium
Lineage: Bacteria
Description: partial 16S ribosomal RNA
Rfam family: Bacterial small subunit ribosomal RNA
Source: RNAcentral